CCUACGGGAGGCUGCAGUGAGGAAUAUUGGUCAAUGGACGAGAGUCUGAACCAGCCAAGUAGCGUGAAGGAUGACUGCCCUAUGGGUUGUAAACUUCUUUUAUAAAGGAAUAAAACGAGGCACGUGUGCCUUUUUGCAUGUACUUUAUGAAUAAGGAUCGGCUAACUCCGUGCCAGCAGCCGCGGUAAUACGGAGGAUCCGAGCGUUAUCCGGAUUUCGUGGGUUUAAAGGGAGCGUAGUUGGGUUGUUAAGUCAGUUGUGAAAGUUUGCGGCUCAACCGUAAAAUUGCAAUUGAUACUGGCAGUCUUGAGUACAGGUGAGGUAAGCGGAAUUCGUGGUGUAGCGGUGAAAUGCUUAGAUAUCACGAAGAACCCCGAUUGCGAAGGCAGCUUACUAAACUGUGACUGACAUUGAUGCUCGAAAGUGUGGGUAUCAAACAGGAUUAGAUACCCGAGUAGUC
RNAcentral lists this ribosomal RNA (460 nucleotides) under uncultured bacterium. Its description in RNAcentral is "partial 16S ribosomal RNA". It matches the Rfam family "Bacterial small subunit ribosomal RNA", at positions 338 to 795 of the family's 1533-position model. The record is from RNAcentral.